This 692-nucleotide ribosomal RNA is filed under the name Araneus dimidiatus. Its description in RNAcentral is "SSU rRNA". It matches the Rfam family "Eukaryotic small subunit ribosomal RNA", at positions 420 to 1115 of the family's 1831-position model. The record is from RNAcentral. Lineage: Eukaryota; Metazoa; Arthropoda; Arachnida; Araneae; Araneidae.
GGAAGGCAGCAGGCGCGCAAAUUACCCACUCCCAGAACGGGGAGGUAGUGACGAAAAAUAACAAUACGGGACUCUUUUGAGACCCCGUAAUUGGAAUGAGUACACUCUAAAUCCUUUAACGAGGAUCCAUUGGAGAGCAAGUCUGGUGCCAGCAGUCGCGGUAAUUCCAGCUCCAAUAGCGUAUAUUAAAGUUGUUGCGGUUAAAAAGCUCGUAGUUGGAUCUCAGCUCCGGCCGGACGGUCCGCCUACCGGUGGUUACUGUUCGUCGCCGAGCGUUCAGGCGGUUAUUCUUGAUGAUCUUCACCGGUUGUCUCGGGUGACCGCCAAGUUUACUUUGAAAAAAUUAGAGUGCUCAAAGCAGGCGCGACGCCUGAAUAAUUGUGCAUGGAAUAAUGGAAUAGGACCUCGGUUCUAUUUUGUUGGUUUUCGGAACACGAGGUAAUGAUUAAGAGGGACAGACGGGGGCAUUCGUAUUGCGACGCUAGAGGUGAAAUUCUUGGACCGUCGCAAGACGAACUACUGCGAAAGCAUUUGCCAAGAAUGUUUCCAUUAAUCAAGAACGAAAGUUAGAGGUUCGAAGGCGAUCAGAUACCGCCCUAGUUCUAACCAUAAACGAUGCCAGCCAGUAAUUCGCCUGUGUUCCUCAAAUGACACGGCGGGCGACUUCCGGGAAACCAAAGCUUUUGGGUUCC